RNAcentral lists this ribosomal RNA (376 nucleotides) under Halomonadaceae bacterium. RNAcentral's name for it is "bacterial SSU rRNA". It matches the Rfam family "Bacterial small subunit ribosomal RNA", at positions 882 to 1257 of the family's 1533-position model. Lineage: Bacteria; Pseudomonadati; Pseudomonadota; Gammaproteobacteria; Oceanospirillales; Halomonadaceae. The record is from RNAcentral.
ACGGCCGCAAGGUUAAAACUCAAAUGAAUUGACGGGGGCCCGCACAAGCGGUGGAGCAUGUGGUUUAAUUCGAUGCAACGCGAAGAACCUUACCUACCCUUGACAUCCAGAGGACUUUCCAGAGAUGGAUUGGUGCCUUCGGGAACUCUGAGACAGGUGCUGCAUGGCUGUCGUCAGCUCGUGUUGUGAAAUGUUGGGUUAAGUCCCGUAACGAGCGCAACCCCUAUCCUUAUUUGCCAGCGAGUAAUGUCGGGAACUCUAAGGAGACUGCCGGUGACAAACCGGAGGAAGGUGGGGACGACGUCAAGUCAUCAUGGCCCUUACGGGUAGGGCUACACACGUGCUACAAUGGCAAGUACAAAGGGUUGCAAUACGG